GACGAAGGAUGCAAGCGUUAUCCGGAUUCAUUGGGUUUAAAGGGUGCGUAGGCGGACUUGUAAGUCAGUGGUGAAAUCUCUUUGCUUAACAAAGAAACUGCCAUUGAUACUGCAGGUCUAGAGUAUAGAUGACGUUGGCGGAAUAUGACAUGUAGUGGUGAAAUACUUAGAUAUGUCAUAGAACACCGAUUGCGAAGGCAGCUAACGAAACUAUAACUGACGCUGAGGCACGAAAGUGCGGGGAUCAAACAAG
This 253-nucleotide ribosomal RNA is filed under the name uncultured bacterium. RNAcentral's name for it is "partial 16S ribosomal RNA". It matches the Rfam family "Bacterial small subunit ribosomal RNA", at positions 524 to 776 of the family's 1533-position model. The record is from RNAcentral.